UACGGAGGGUGCGAGCGUUGUUCGGAAUUACUGGGCGUAAAGCGCGUGUAGGCGGCUUCUUAAGUCUGGUGUGAAAGCCCGGGGCUCACCCCCGGAAGUGCACUGGAAACUGGGAAGCUAGAGUACCGGAGAGGAGGGUGGAAUUCCUGGUGUAGCGGUGAAAUGCGUAGAUAUCAGGAGGAACACCGGUGGCGAAGGCGGCCCUCUGGACGGAUACUGACGCUGAGACGCGAAAGCGUGGGGAGCAAACAGG
Molecule: ribosomal RNA, 253 nt
Filed under: uncultured bacterium
Lineage: Bacteria
Description: partial 16S ribosomal RNA
Rfam family: Bacterial small subunit ribosomal RNA
Source: RNAcentral